RNAcentral lists this ribosomal RNA (377 nucleotides) under uncultured bacterium. RNAcentral describes it as "bacterial SSU rRNA". It matches the Rfam family "Bacterial small subunit ribosomal RNA", at positions 521 to 896 of the family's 1533-position model. The record is from RNAcentral.
UAAUACGUAGGGGGCGAGCGUUGUCCGGAGUUACUGGGCGUAAAGGGCGUGCAGGCGGUGCGGUAAGUUUAGAGUGACAGUAUCCGGCUUAACUGGAUAAGGCCUCUGAAAACUGCCGGACUUGAGGGCCAGAGAGGGACAUAGAAUUCCGGGUGGAGUGGUGAAAUGCGUAGAUAUCCGGAGGAAUACCAAAGGCGAAGGCAGUGUCCUGGCUGGCAUCUGACGCUGAGGCGCGAAAGCUAGGGGAGCGAACAGGAUUAGAUACCCUGGUAGUCCUAGCCGUAAACGAUGACCACUAGAUGUGCGGGGUAUCGACCCCCUGCGUGUCGGAGAUAACUUUUUAAGUGGUCCGCCUGGGGAGUACGGUCGCAAGAUUA